RNAcentral lists this transfer RNA (73 nucleotides) under Ailuropoda melanoleuca (giant panda). It matches the Rfam family "tRNA". From Rfam's summary of the family: Transfer RNA (tRNA) molecules are approximately 80 nucleotides in length. Lineage: Eukaryota; Metazoa; Chordata; Mammalia; Carnivora; Ursidae. The record is from Rfam by way of RNAcentral.
ACCUGGCUGGCUCAGUUGGUACAGCAUGAGAUUCUUGAUCUCAGGGCUGUGAGUUCAAGCCCCACGAUGGGUG